RNAcentral lists this ribosomal RNA (567 nucleotides) under Curvularia eragrostidis. RNAcentral describes it as "eukaryotic LSU rRNA". The stretch from base 178 to 331 matches the Rfam family "5.8S ribosomal RNA". The record is from RNAcentral. Lineage: Eukaryota; Fungi; Ascomycota; Dothideomycetes; Pleosporales; Pleosporaceae.
CGGAGGGAUCAUUACCCAAUACAAUAUGAAGGCCGUACGCGGCUGGAUUUUAUUUUUACCCUUGUCUUAUGCGCCCUUGUUGUAUCCUGGGCGGGUUCGCCCGCCCCCAGGACCCCACCCCAAACCUAUUUUAUGCAGUUGCAAUCAGCGUCAGUACAACAAAUGUAAAUCAUAUACAACUAUCAACAACGGAUCUCUUGGUUCUGGCAUCGAUGAAGAACGCAGCGAAAUGCGAUACGUAGUGUGAAUUGCAGAAUUCAGUGAAUCAUCGAAUCUUUGAACGCCCAUUGCGCCCUAUGGUAUUCCAAAGGGCAUGCCUGUUCGAGCGUCAUAUGUACCCUCAAGCUUUGCUUGGUGUUGGGCGUAUUUUUGUCUAUGGUUGCCAAAGACUCGCCUUAAAACGAUUGGCAGCCGGCCUCCUGGUAUCGCAGCGCAGCCCAUAUUUGCGCUUGCAAUCAGCAACAGAGGGCGGCCCUCCAUCAAGACUCCAUAUUCCCGUAUGACCUCGGAUCAGGUAGGGAUACCCGCUGAACUUAAGCAUAUCAUAAAAGCGGAGGAUAUUUUUUU